This 464-nucleotide small RNA is filed under the name Pongo abelii (Sumatran orangutan). RNAcentral describes it as "processed transcript". The record is from RNAcentral. Lineage: Eukaryota; Metazoa; Chordata; Mammalia; Primates; Hominidae.
CUCCUGGGGUGGAGGGAGGCUCUCUGCCAGGCCAGAGCUGAGAUCUGUAAUUGGUCCCUAGGGCAGAGGUGGCCACCCCCGUCUCAUGCCCCUCCCCCUGCCCCCCAGGAGUGAACUACGUGCACCAGUUCUGUGUGGGGGCAGCCAAGGGGGUGCUGAGCCCGUUUGUGCUGCAGGAGAUCGUCAUGGAGACGCUGCAGCGGCUGAGUCCCGCUCAUGCCCACAACCACCUGCGUGCCCCGGCCUUCCACCAACUGGUGCAGCGCUGCCAGCAGGCAUACAUGCAGUACAUCCACCACCGCUUGAUUCACCUGACUCCUGCGGACUACGACGACUUUGUGAAUGCGAUCCGGAGCGCCCGCAGCGCCUUCUGCCUGACGCCCAUGGGCAUGAUGCAGUUCAACGACAUCCUACAGAACCUCAAGCGCAGCAAACAGACCAAGGAGCUGUGGCAGCGGGUCUCA